Molecule: long non-coding RNA, 575 nt
Filed under: Citrus x clementina
Lineage: Eukaryota; Viridiplantae; Streptophyta; Magnoliopsida; Sapindales; Rutaceae
Description: Citrus clementina (C. clementina) long non-coding RNA (CCLE_LNC006301)
Source: RNAcentral
UUGGGCGCGCAUUUGCCCGCGGCAUAUUUUUGGCACACGGAGGCCCCUCGCAAAGUCUCGCGGCAUUCCGAGUCCGGCGGACGAAGUUGGCCAGCCCCACCCCCCAAGGCUAUAGCCCACCCGUUUUUGUGGCCUUUUUCCGCUGGACGAACUUGGCGCCCCGGCCUUCGGGGGGUUAUUUUUGGGCGCGCCUUUGCCCGUGGCCUAUUUUUGGCACACGGAGGCCCCUCGUAAAGUCUCGCGGCAUUCCGAGUCCGGCGGACGAAGUGGGCCGGCCCCACCCCCCAAGGCUAUAGCCCACCCGUUUUUGUGGCCUUUUUCCGCUGGACGAACUUGGAGACCCGGCCUUCGGGCGGUUAUUUUUGGGCGCGGCUUUGCCCACGGCCUAUUUUUGGCCCACGGAGGCCCCUCGUAAAGUCUCGCGGCAUUCCGAGUCCGGCGGACGAAGUUGGCCAGCCCCACCCCCCAAGGCUAUAGCCCACCCGUUUUUGUGGCCUUUUACCGCUGGACGAACUUGGCGACCCGGCCUACGGGUGGUUAUUUUUAGGCGCGGCUUUGCCCGCGGAUUAUUUAUG